Molecule: small RNA, 435 nt
Filed under: Pongo abelii (Sumatran orangutan)
Lineage: Eukaryota; Metazoa; Chordata; Mammalia; Primates; Hominidae
Description: retained intron
Source: RNAcentral
AGGCUCUGGAGCCCAACAGCACAGUGGUGACCGUGGGCAUCACUGAAUCUGUAUCCACUUCUGUGGCACAGGACAGGCCAGGCAGUCCCAGUGGCUCUGAGGACAAGGGCAACCCGGCCCCGGAGCUGAGGGCCUCCUUUCUGCCACGUACCUUGUCUCUGCGGAACUCCAUCAGCAGGAUCAUGUCGGAGGCGGGCAGUGGGACCCUGGAGGACGAGUGGCAGGCCAUCUCGGAGAUUGCCUCCACUUGCAACACCAUUCUGGAGUCGCUGUCCCGAGAGGGACAGCCCAUCCCAGAGAGCGGAGACCCUAAGGGAACUCCAAAGUCUGAUGCUGAGCCAGAGCCUGGGAACCUCUCAGAGAAGGUCUCUCACUUGGAGUCCAUGCUCAGGAAGCUGCAGGAGGACCUGCAGAAGGAGAAGGCGGACAGGGCGG